GCUGUAGCUCAGUGGUAGAGCGCUUGCCUUGCAUGCGUGGGGCCUUGGGUUCGGUCCUCAGCACCGCA
RNAcentral lists this transfer RNA (68 nucleotides) under Marmota monax (woodchuck). Its description in RNAcentral is "tRNA.Ala". The stretch from base 3 to 63 matches the Rfam family "tRNA", at positions 6 to 65 of the family's 71-position model. From Rfam's summary of the family: Transfer RNA (tRNA) molecules are approximately 80 nucleotides in length. Their secondary structure includes four short double-helical elements and three loops (D, anti-codon, and T loops). Further hydrogen bonds mediate the characteristic L-shaped molecular structure. tRNAs have two regions of fundamental functional importance: the anti-codon, which is responsible for specific mRNA codon recognition, and the 3' end, to which the tRNAs corresponding amino acid is attached (by aminoacyl-tRNA synthetases). tRNAs cope with the degeneracy of the genetic code in two manners: having more than one tRNA (with a specific anti-codon) for a particular amino acid; and 'wobble' base-pairing, i.e. permitting non-standard base-pairing at the 3rd anti-codon position. The record is from RNAcentral. Lineage: Eukaryota; Metazoa; Chordata; Mammalia; Rodentia; Sciuridae.